GAUGAACGCUGGCGGCGUGCUUAACACAUGCAAGUCGAACGGGAUCCCAGGAGCUUGCUCCUGGGUGAGAGUGGCGAACGGGUGAGUAAUGCGUGACCGACCUGCCCCAUACACCGGAAUAGCUCCUGGAAACGGGUGGUAAUGCCGGAUGCUCCAGUUGGAUGCAUGUCCUUCUGGGAAAGAUUCAUCGGUAUGGGAUGGGGUCGCGUCCUAUCAGGUAGUCGGCGGGGUAACGGCCCACCGAGCCUACGACGGGUAGCCGGCCUGAGAGGGCGACCGGCCACAUUGGGACUGAGAUACGGCCCAGACUCCUACGGGAGGCAGCAGUGGGGAAUAUUGCACAAUGGGCGCAAGCCUGAUGCAGCGACGCCGCGUGCGGGAUGACGGCCUUCGGGUUGUAAACCGCUUUUGACUGGGAGCAAGCCCUUCGGGGUGAGUGUACCUUUCGAAUAAGCACCGGCUAACU
RNAcentral lists this ribosomal RNA (466 nucleotides) under uncultured bacterium. Its description in RNAcentral is "bacterial SSU rRNA". It matches the Rfam family "Bacterial small subunit ribosomal RNA", at positions 28 to 502 of the family's 1533-position model. The record is from RNAcentral.